This 705-nucleotide ribosomal RNA is filed under the name uncultured organism. RNAcentral's name for it is "bacterial SSU rRNA". It matches the Rfam family "Bacterial small subunit ribosomal RNA", at positions 100 to 804 of the family's 1533-position model. The record is from RNAcentral.
CACGGGUGCGUACACGUAUGCACCUACCCUCCGGAGGGGGAUAGUCGCGGGAAACUGCGAAUAAUACCCCAUGUGUUCAUUGGUUGGCAUCAACUGAUGAAGAAAGUUCCGGCGCCGGGGGAUGGGCAUGCGUCCCAUUAGCUAGUUGGUGAGGUAACCGGCUCACCAAGGCGACGAUGGGUAGCUGGUCUGAGAGGAUGAUCAGCCACACGGGCACUGAGACACGGGCCCGACUCCUACGGGAGGCAGCAGUAAGGAAUCUUGGUCAAUGGGGGCAACCCUGAACCAGCCAUGCCGCGUGGAGGAAGACGGCCCUCCGGGUUGUAAACUCCUUUAGUCAGGGACUAAUUGUGGGCUAUAGGCACACUUGCAGGUACCUGAAGAAUAAGCGCCGGCUAACUACGUGCCAGCAGCCGCGGUAAUACGUAGGGCGCAAGCGUUGUCCGGAUUUAUUGGGUUUACAGGGUGCGUAGGCGGAUUGUUAAGUUCGUGGUGAAAUCGUUCCGCUUAACGGAAUAACCGCCAUGGAUACUGGCAGUCUUGAGUGCGGUAGAGGAAGUUAGACUGCGUGGUUGUAGCGGUGAAAUGCCUAGAUUUUCACGCAGAAUACCGAUUGCGAAGGCCGAUUUCUAUACCGUAACUGACGCUGAGGCACGAAAGCGUGGGGAGCGACCAGGAUUAGAUACCCUGGUAGUCCACGCUGUA